GUUAGAACGCUCGUAGUCGGAUUUCGGGGCGGUCCGACCGGUCUGCCGACGGGUACGCACUGGUCGGCGCGUCCUUCCUUCCGGAGACCGUGCCUACUCUUAACUGAGCGGGGGCGGGAGACGGAACGUUUACUUUGAAAAAAUCAGAGUGUUUCAAGCAGGCAGCUCGCUCUUGCAUGGAUUAGCAUGGGAUAAUGAAAUAGGACUUUGGUGCUAUUUUGUUGGUUUCGAACACCGAAGUAAUGAUGAGAAGGGACAGUCAGGGGCACUCGUAUUCCGCCGAGAGAGGUGAAAUUCUCAGACCAGCGGAAGACGAACCACUGCGAAAGCAUUUGCCAGGGAUGUUUUCACUGAUCAAGAACGAAAGUUAGGGGAUCGAAGACGAUCAGAUACCGUCGUAGUCUUAACCAUAAACCAUGCCGACUAGGGAUUGGGGGAUGUUCACAUAUUGACUCCCCCAGCACCUUACGGGAAACUAAAGUCUUUGGGUUCCGGGGGGAGUAUGGUCGCAAGGCUGAAACUUAAAGGAAUUGACGGAAGGGCACCACCAGGUGUGGAGCCUGCGGCUUAAUUUGACUCAACACGGGGAAACUUACCAGGUCCAGACAUUGUGAGGAUUGACAGAUUGAGAGCUCUUUCUUGAUUCGAUGGGUGGUGGUGCAUGGCCGUUCUUAGUUGGUGGAGUGAUUUGUCUGGUUAAUUCCGUUAACG
RNAcentral lists this ribosomal RNA (711 nucleotides) under uncultured marine eukaryote. Its description in RNAcentral is "SSU rRNA". It matches the Rfam family "Eukaryotic small subunit ribosomal RNA", at positions 618 to 1333 of the family's 1831-position model. The record is from RNAcentral.